GAAGCUUGUAUUAAAGUUAGCCACUGUGUGAAGCAGCAAUAGAGAGAAGCAGUAGCACAAGAGGCUACAGUGAGAGGAAGCAAAUGCUGUAGCUAUCUGGUGUCCACAGCUGCACAGCUCAUCCUUUUCUGGAACAACUGUCUCCGUAUCAGGUCCAGCAGCAUGAGCCUUCCCAGUAUAACACUGCAAUGCAGCAGAAGGGAAGAAGCAUUUAAACUAUCAACACACUCAGAUUUCACAGGAGCAGCACAAGUUAACUUUAUUGGUCACUGUUGAAGAAAUGACAUGGAACUGGAUGGAUCGGUGAAAAAAACCAGUAUUUCCCUUGUUAAAUAUUUAAGUUUACCUUUGUUAGAAGCACAAGCAAUGUGAUAAAUGGAAUGACUUCUUAAAUGAGCUCUGGUGAAAUUGGUAAAAGAUGCUUAUAUUUAAUUAAAUCAGAGAACAUUAUGAAGAGAUUACGUUACUGUGAAGACGUGAAAGAUAACCUCCUUUGGACCAAAAAAACAGAACACUGUUUAA
RNAcentral lists this long non-coding RNA (522 nucleotides) under Strigops habroptila (Kakapo). RNAcentral describes it as "lncRNA (ENSSHBG00005010224.1)". Lineage: Eukaryota; Metazoa; Chordata; Aves; Psittaciformes; Psittacidae. The record is from RNAcentral.